ACCCCAAUAAUUCCAUAUCGGAUA
This 24-nucleotide microRNA is filed under the name Ananas comosus (pineapple). Its description in RNAcentral is "microRNA s0669_c88a". Lineage: Eukaryota; Viridiplantae; Streptophyta; Magnoliopsida; Poales; Bromeliaceae. The record is from RNAcentral.